GGUGCAGUGAUUGUUGAGAUUUCGCAAUGACGCGGACGGUUCACGGUUGUUUCGUCGCACCCAACCAUCAGUUUCAAUGUAUCUAUUUUGAUUGCGAGUUGGGUAAGUUACCUCUGUUCUUCACAUGUUCAUACAUGUUUUUUGAUGUUUGGAAGUAGUUCUCUGUUCGAUUAUUCGAUUUUGGGUUAGUUGUUUGUUUUUUCAAUUUUUGGUUUCGGGCUCUACCGUCAGUCACUUUGUUUUAGGGUUGGGGUUGCUUUAUUGUCUAAUUUGGGUCUCAUAUACAUACUCGAUUCCCACCUUCCACCAUGGAUUGCUUGCCACCGUAUCAACAUUGGCUUUCAUGUAUGCUUAUUGUUUCCAUUGUUGAGCACACCAAUGCAGAAAACUUAAAGUUCCAUUAGUGAACUUUGAGAACUAAAAUCAUCAAUGGUGCAACGAGAAUAUUGAAGUGAAAGAUUGAUUAUCCAAAAUAGUGGGUGGUGUCGGUGGAACUGCAAGUAUGAAUUCUAUCCUGGAACUUCCAGUUAUAACAGUUAUAGGUCCUCAAAUUACAAAUUGCAUUCCAUUCCAUCAUGUUAAUUUCUUCUCUAACUCUAAUUCCGUCUACUAAUUUAUUGAAUUUAUGACUACCGAAUCCUUUGUUUGCAGAAGAAUAUGUCAUUGAGGGUAAAGAAAUGCAGAAAUGGCAUUCUUCUGAAAUUCGGCUGUCACCGGUUCUGAUCGUUGCCCAGCUUCUCUACACACCAAUCUUAUUUUCUUAAUUUGAUAAUUUCAAUCUCUUAUCUCCUUUUCAUUUGUUAAUUUUUGCUAACACUUCUACUUUUAUUGUAUAAAAUAAUGAUCUUCAUCCAAUCAACUAUUUAUUUUCCAGUUGUAAUUUCCAUUGUAUGUAGUUGUUGGUACCAUAGCCAAGUGACUUUGUAUGUUAAUUUUGAAUUUGGCAUGGCUUUGACAGGUGGGAUUUGGAAGGGAAACAAUCACCAACUUUGAAGGCAAUACUUAACAAGGAAACAAUAUGCUUCCUUCAACUCAUCACUGUAAUACAACUUUCAUCAACUACAAUCACACUCUGUCAGUUUGUGUUGUUUCUUUUAAAUUUUACAAAGUUUUGCAAUUUCUGACACAAGAAGCGAUUAUGGAUUCAAUUUAAACUUGGGAAUUUCAAAUACUUAUGUUGGUGAAGGUUCAAGUGGAAAUGAAAAUUCAGAACAACCCCAUUUGAAUUACAUCCAUCACGCUUGAAUAUUGCAGCUAUUGCUAUUUGAAAUAAACUUGAGUAAUUGUGUAGGGAGCUACAAUGUCAGAACAAAAUGUUAAUGGUUCUUUAUUUCCCUUUUUAAGGCGAGCAACGCCCAAACGCAUUAUUGUGACGUGGCACAGAAAAACGCUGAUAUAACGCAAGGAACACCGCCCCCGCCCGGCGUUAUUAGGUGUUACGUUGGUGCGCGUUUUCGAGGCAAUGGGAGGCAACGUCUGUUUUCCUCUCUUUUUCCUCUCUGUUUCUCUUCCUCAUGAUGGCGUCUUCUUGGCAGAACAUCACCCCCUCUUUUCCCGUUUUCAUGGCGUUUUUAUUGCUUGGCCUCAAAAAACACAAGUGGGUGUUGCCCACACCUUACACUCUAAGUAUAGGGUACAUAAUAAUUAUUACAUAACGUAUUUUGCUUGUAACGAACCGAAUAAAGUGUGAUGGAUUUAAUUGGUUUUCCGAA
Molecule: long non-coding RNA, 1712 nt
Organism: Lactuca sativa (garden lettuce)
Lineage: Eukaryota; Viridiplantae; Streptophyta; Magnoliopsida; Asterales; Asteraceae
Source: RefSeq, a predicted model, not a curated record